This 253-nucleotide ribosomal RNA is filed under the name uncultured bacterium. Its description in RNAcentral is "partial 16S ribosomal RNA". It matches the Rfam family "Bacterial small subunit ribosomal RNA", at positions 524 to 776 of the family's 1533-position model. The record is from RNAcentral.
UACGUAGGGGGCAAGCGUUGUCCGGAUUUAUUGGGCGUAAAGAGCGUGUAGGCGGCUAGGUAGGUCCGUUGUGAAAACUCGAGGCUCAACCUCGAGCUGUCGAUGGAAACCAUCUAGCUAGAGUCCGGAAGAGGAGAGUGGAAUUCCUGGUGUAGCGGUGAAAUGCGCAGAUAUCGGGAGGAACACCUAUGGCGAAGGCAGCUCGCUGGGACGUUACUGACGCUGAGACGCGAAAGCGUGGGGAGCAAACAGG